GAUUCUGGCUCAGGAUGAACGUUAGCUACAGGCUUAACACAUGCAAGUCGAGGGGCAGCAUUGGGAUAGCUUGCUAUUCAGAUGGCGACCGGCGCACGGGUGAGUAACGCGUAUCCAACCUUCCUGCCAGUAGGGAACAGCCCGGCGAAAGUCGGAUUAAUGCCCUAUGUUCUUCAAUGCGGACAUCUAAGUUGAAGGAAAGAUUCAUCGCCGGCAGAUGGGGAUGCGUCCGAUUAGCUUGCCGGCGGGGUAACGGCCCACCGGGGCGACGAUCGGUAGGGGUUCUGAGAGGAAGGUCCCCCACACUGGUACUGAGACACGGACCAGACUCCUACGGGAGGCAGCAGUGAGGAAUAUUGGUCAAUGGACGAGAGUCUGAACCAGCCAAGUAGCGUGCCAGGAUGACGGCCCUAUGGGUUGUAAACUGCUUUUAUAUAGGGAUAAAGUCACCCACGUGUGGGUGUUUGUAGGUACUAUAUGAAUAAGGACCGGCUAAUUCCGUGCCAGCCGCAGC
Molecule: ribosomal RNA, 514 nt
Filed under: uncultured bacterium
Lineage: Bacteria
Description: bacterial SSU rRNA
Rfam family: Bacterial small subunit ribosomal RNA
Source: RNAcentral